This 154-nucleotide ribosomal RNA is filed under the name uncultured Pezizales. Its description in RNAcentral is "5.8S ribosomal RNA". It matches the Rfam family "5.8S ribosomal RNA". From Rfam's summary of the family: 5.8S ribosomal RNA (5.8S rRNA) is a component of the large subunit of the eukaryotic ribosome. It is transcribed by RNA polymerase I as part of the 45S precursor that also contains 18S and 28S rRNA. The record is from RNAcentral. Lineage: Eukaryota; Fungi; Ascomycota; Pezizomycetes; Pezizales.
AACUUUCAACAACGGAUCUCUUGGUUCUCGCAUCGAUGAAGAACGCAGCGAAAUGCGAUAAGUAGUGUGAAUUGCAGAAUUCAGUGAAUCAUCGAAUUUUUGAACGCACAUUGCGCCUUCCGGUAUUCCGGAAGGCAUGCCUGUUCGAGCGUCA